GCACAAGCGGUGGAGCAUGUGGUUUAAUUCGAAGCAACGCGAAGAACCUUACCAGGUCUUGACAUCCCUGACAACCCGAGAGAUCGGGCGUUCCCCUUCGGGGGACAGGGUGACAGGUGGUGCAUGGUUGUCGUCAGCUCGCGUCGUGAGAUGUUGGGUUAAGUCCCGCAACGAGCGCAACCCUCGACCUUAGUUGCCAGCAUUCAGUUGGGCACUCUAAGGUGACUGCCGGCUAAAAGUCGGAGGAAGGUGGGGAUGACGUCAAAUCAUCAUGCCCCUUAUGACCUGGGCUACACACGUGCUACAAUGGGCGGUACAAAGGGUCGCGAACCCGCGAGGGGGAGCCAAUCCCAAAAAGCCGCUCUCAGUUCGGAUUGCAGGCUGCAACUCGCCUGCAUGAAGCCGGAAUCGCUAGUAAUCGCAGGUCAGCAUACUGCGGUGAAUACGUUCCCGGGCCUU
This 459-nucleotide ribosomal RNA is filed under the name uncultured Anoxybacillus sp. RNAcentral's name for it is "bacterial SSU rRNA". It matches the Rfam family "Bacterial small subunit ribosomal RNA", at positions 923 to 1382 of the family's 1533-position model. Lineage: Bacteria; Bacillati; Bacillota; Bacilli; Caryophanales; Anoxybacillaceae. The record is from RNAcentral.